This 253-nucleotide ribosomal RNA is filed under the name uncultured bacterium. RNAcentral's name for it is "partial 16S ribosomal RNA". It matches the Rfam family "Bacterial small subunit ribosomal RNA", at positions 524 to 776 of the family's 1533-position model. The record is from RNAcentral.
UACGUAGGGGGCUAGCGUUGUCCGGAAUCAUUGGGCGUAAAGAGCGUGUAGGCGGUCCGGUAAGUCCGCUGUGAAAGUCGGGGGCUCAACCCUCGAAUGCCGGUGGAUACUGUCGGGCUAGAGUACGGAAGAGGCGAGUGGAAUUCCUGGUGUAGCGGUGAAAUGCGCAGAUAUCAGGAGGAACACCAAUUGCGAAGGCAGCUCGCUGGGACGUGACUGACGCUGAGACGCGAAAGCGUGGGGAGCAAACAGG